RNAcentral lists this ribosomal RNA (1017 nucleotides) under uncultured bacterium. RNAcentral's name for it is "bacterial SSU rRNA". It matches the Rfam family "Bacterial small subunit ribosomal RNA", at positions 355 to 1375 of the family's 1533-position model. The record is from RNAcentral.
UGAGGAAUAUUGGUCAAUGGACGAGAGUCUGAACCAGCCAAGUAGCGUGAAGGAUGACUGCCCUAUGGGUUGUAAACUUCUUUUAUACGGGAAUAAAGUGAGGCACGUGUGCCUUUUUGUAUGUACCGUAUGAAUAAGGAUCGGCUAACUCCGUGCCAGCAGCCGCGGUAAUACGGAGGAUCCGAGCGUUAUCCGGAUUUAUUGGGUUUAAAGGGAGCGUAGGCGGACGCUUAAGUCAGUUGUGAAAGUUUGCGGCUCAACCGUAAAAUUGCAGUUGAUACUGGGUGUCUUGAGUACAGUAGAGGCAGGCGGAAUUCGUGGUGUAGCGGUGAAAUGCUUAGAUAUCACGAAGAACUCCGAUUGCGAAGGCAGCUUGUUGGACUGUAACUGACGCUGAUGCUCGAAAGUGUGGGUAUCAAACAGGAUUAGAUACCCUGGUAGUCCACACAGUAAACGAUGAAUACUCGCUGUUUGCGAUAUACAGUAAGCGGCCAAGCGAAAGCGUUAAGUAUUCCACCUGGGGAGUACGCCGGCAACGGUGAAACUCAAAGGAAUUGACGGGGGCCCGCACAAGCGGAGGAACAUGUGGUUUAAUUCGAUGAUACGCGAGGAACCUUACCCGGGCUUGAAUUGCAACUGAAUGAUGUGGAGACAUGUCAGCCGCAAGGCAGUUGUGAAGGUGCUGCAUGGUUGUCGUCAGCUCGUGCCGUGAGGUGUCGGCUUAAGUGCCAUAACGAGCGCAACCCUUAUCGAUAGUUACCAUCAGGUUAUGCUGGGGACUCUGUCGAGACUGCCGUCGUAAGAUGUGAGGAAGGUGGGGAUGACGUCAAAUCAGCACGGCCCUUACGUCCGGGGCUACACACGUGUUACAAUGGGGGGUACAGCAGGCAGCUACCGGGCGACCGGAUGCCAAUCCCGAAAGCCUCUCUCAGUUCGGACUGGAGUCUGCAACCCGACUCCACGAAGCUGGAUUCGCUAGUAAUCGCGCAUCAGCCACGGCGCGGUGAAUACGUUCCC